UGAGGAAUAUUGGACAAUGGGUGAGAGCCUGAUCCAGCCAUCCCGCGUGAAGGAAGAAGGUUCUAUGGAUUGUAAACUUCUUUUGUAUGGGGAUAAACCUACGUACGUGUACGUAGCUGAAGGUACCAUACGAAUAAGCAUCGGCUAACUCCGUGCCAGCAGCCGCGGUAAUACGGAGGAUGCGAGCGUUAUCCGGAUUUAUUGGGUUUAAAGGGUCUGUAGGCGGAUGAAUAAGUCAGUGGUGAAAUCC
This 250-nucleotide ribosomal RNA is filed under the name uncultured bacterium. Its description in RNAcentral is "partial 16S ribosomal RNA". It matches the Rfam family "Bacterial small subunit ribosomal RNA", at positions 355 to 602 of the family's 1533-position model. The record is from RNAcentral.